UUACCUCCCACUGGAUCCAGAAGUUGAAAAAGGUCUAAAGCCUAUUUAUGAAGAUUUAUCUGGGCAUGAAUUGCUUGAUAGAUGCAAAGCACCUUCAUAAUGGAUUGAAAACUAUUGAAUUAGCAAAUUUUUUUGCAACUUCAAUAUUCAAUGACGGUUACUCCUCAAUUUUAAAGAUAUUUAAUGUAAUGGGAGUAAAAGUUGGACCUGCAGCAAGAGAUUAUACGGCUCUUAAGGACGAGACGAGAUUACGAAUCGCUGAUCAUCGCCAACGGGCUUGUUCAAAAGAGGGUCGAUCAUCUCGAAGAAGAGCUUCUUCAGCUCAACAAGCAGUUUUUGAGGAAGAGGAAGGUGAAUUAUAUGGGUCUGGAAUAGCAGAUUAGCUGUUUUAUCAACGGAGAAGGCUGCAAUCACUCCAGCAGUGGAGGACCUUGUUUUUUUGGCGCCGCCGGAGAUCGCGUGUCAUUUCGAAACUAUUUAAUAUUUUAUUUCAAAAAUUUUACUGUGUACUCUCAAAACAUGUAUAAAUAUACCCUCAAAAUUUUAAAUAGAUGGAUUCACUAGU
Long non-coding RNA from Aethina tumida (small hive beetle), 565 nucleotides. RefSeq lists it as uncharacterized. The transcript has 3 exons. Lineage: Eukaryota; Metazoa; Arthropoda; Insecta; Coleoptera; Nitidulidae. The record is from RefSeq and is a predicted model, not a curated record.